Molecule: transfer RNA, 64 nt
Filed under: Bradyrhizobium sp. 200
Lineage: Bacteria; Pseudomonadati; Pseudomonadota; Alphaproteobacteria; Hyphomicrobiales; Nitrobacteraceae
Description: tRNA-OTHER
Rfam family: tRNA
About the family: Transfer RNA (tRNA) molecules are approximately 80 nucleotides in length. Their secondary structure includes four short double-helical elements and three loops (D, anti-codon, and T loops).
Source: RNAcentral
GCGGGCGUAAUUAAUGAAUCGUUUUCCCAAGCUGCAUACGAGGGUUCGAUUCCCUUCGCCCGCG